Molecule: long non-coding RNA, 442 nt
Organism: Carica papaya (papaya)
Lineage: Eukaryota; Viridiplantae; Streptophyta; Magnoliopsida; Brassicales; Caricaceae
Source: RefSeq, a predicted model, not a curated record
GAGAGAUAUCAGGGGGGAGGAAGAGAAGGUUCGAGAGAGAGAGAGAGAGAGGAGCCAGAUUGGAGAGAAAUGAGAGAGAGAGGAGCCGGAUUGGAGAGAAACGAGAAGAGAGAGAGAAGGAAAGAGGAUCGUGACGGUGCGAGCCACGGGAGGAAAAAAGAUGGAGAUGAGAGAUGAAGUAGGGAUGGAGCCGGGAUCGGAGUUGCUGGUUUCCGAGCCUAGCAUAUAGCGCAACAGAGCAAGAAUUCUUUUUGUGGGCAGAACAGAGUGUGUAAAAAUUAGUAGUAGUAUAGAUAGUGUCUGUUAAAAGUGUACGAGAUUGUAUUUCUUUGUUAUGUAUAUGUAGGAUUGCAGGUUUGUCUUGAUUUGGAAUAAUGGAUUGUAGGAAGGUUUCUAUCUGUGUGAUUGAUUUGGAAUGAAACUUUCGUAUUUUGCAAUAAAA